GUCGAACGGAAAGGUCUCUAGCUUGCUAGAGAUACUCGAGUGGCGGACGGGUGAGUAACGCGUAAACAAUCUACCCUUUAGCCGGGGACAACCACGGGAAACUGUGGCUAAUACCCGAUAAGAUCACAGAUUCGCAUGUUUUUGUGAUGAAAGUAAUUAGAUUAGCUGAAGGAUGAGUUUGCGUCUAAUUAGCUUGUUGGUAAGGUAAUGGCUUACCAAGGCGAUGAUUAGUAGCUGGUCUGAGAGGAUGGACAGCCACACUGGGACUGAGACACGGCCCAGACUCCUACGGGAGGCAGCAGUGAGGAAUUUUGCUCAAUGGGCGCAAGCCUGAAGCAGCGACGCCGCGUGAACGAUGAAUCUUUCGGGAUGUAAAGUUCUGUCAGUGGGGAAAAUAAUGAUGGUACCCCGAGGAAGGACCGGCAACUAUGUGCCAGCAGCCGCGGUAAUACAUAGGGUCCAAGCGUUGUCCGGAUUUACUGGGCGUAAAGAGCAUGUAGGUGGUGAGAUAAGUCAAACUUAAAAGACCAUUGGCUCAACCAUGGUUAGGGUUUGAUACUGUUUUACUAGAGAUCGGGAGAGGAAAGUAGAACUAACAGUGUAGCGGUGAAAUGCGUAGAUAUUGUUAGGAAUACCCGUGGCGAAGGCGGCUUUCUGGACCGAAUCUGACACUGAGAUGCGAAAGCGUGGGGAUCAAACAGGAUUAGAUACCCUGGUAGUCCACGCUGUAAACGAUGUACAUUAGGUAUUGCGGGUAUCGACCCCUGCAGUGCCGAAGCUAACGCGUUAAAUGUACCGCCUGGGGAGUACGAUCGCAAGAUUAAAACUCAAAGGAAUUGACGGGGGCCCGCACAAGCAGUGGAUCAUGUGGUUUAAUUCGACGAUACGCGAAAAACCUUACCAGAACUUGACAUCCGCUUGAUCUCUAUGGAAGCAUAGAGUGACCCGCAAGGGAGGGCGAGACAGGUGGUGCAUGGUUGUCGUCAGCUCGUGUCGUGAGAUGUUAGGUUAAGUCCUGCAACGAGCGCAACCCCCGUACUGUGUUGCUACAUUAAGUUGAGCACUCUCAGUAGACUGCCCGUGGUAAACGGGAGGAAGGUGGGGAUGACGUCAAAUCAUCAUGCCCCUUACGUUCUGGGCUACACACAUGAUACAAUGGCCAGUACAAAGGGUUGCCAAGCCGCAAGGUGGAGCUAAUCUCAAAAAACUGGUCUCAGUUCGGAUUGUAGUCUGCAACUCGACUACAUGAAGUUGGAAUUGCUAGUAAACGCAGAUCAGCACGCUGCGUUGAUACGUUCCCGGGCAUUGUACACACCGCCCGUCACACCAUGAAAGCCGGAAAUAUCCGAAGUAGGUGAGCUAACCGCAAGGAGGCAGCCUCCUAAGAUAGAGCU
RNAcentral lists this ribosomal RNA (1394 nucleotides) under uncultured organism. RNAcentral's name for it is "bacterial SSU rRNA". It matches the Rfam family "Bacterial small subunit ribosomal RNA". The record is from RNAcentral.